RNAcentral lists this ribosomal RNA (497 nucleotides) under uncultured bacterium. RNAcentral describes it as "partial 16S ribosomal RNA". It matches the Rfam family "Bacterial small subunit ribosomal RNA", at positions 28 to 507 of the family's 1533-position model. The record is from RNAcentral.
GAUGAACGCUGGCGGCGUGCCUAAUACAUGCAAGUCGAGCGAACAGACGAGGAGCUUGCUCCUCUGACGUUAGCGGCGGACGGGUGAGUAACACGUGGAUAACCUACCUAUAAGACUGGGAUAACUUCGGGAAACCGGAGCUAAUACCGGAUAAUAUAUUGAACCGCAUGGUUCAAUAGUGAAAGACGGUUUUGCUGUCACUUAUAGAUGGAUCCGCGCCGCAUUAGCUAGUUGGUAAGGUAACGGCUUACCAAGGCGACGAUGCGUAGCCGACCUGAGAGGGUGAUCGGCCACACUGGAACUGAGACACGGUCCAGACUCCUACGGGAGGCAGCAGUAGGGAAUCUUCCGCAAUGGGCGAAAGCCUGACGGAGCAACGCCGCGUGAGUGAUGAAGGUCUUCGGAUCGUAAAACUCUGUUAUUAGGGAAGAACAAAUGUGGAAGUAACUAUGCACGUCUUGACGGUACCUAAUCAGAAAGCCACGGCUAACUACGUG